RNAcentral lists this ribosomal RNA (404 nucleotides) under uncultured Pseudomonas sp. Its description in RNAcentral is "bacterial SSU rRNA". It matches the Rfam family "Bacterial small subunit ribosomal RNA", at positions 977 to 1382 of the family's 1533-position model. The record is from RNAcentral. Lineage: Bacteria; Pseudomonadati; Pseudomonadota; Gammaproteobacteria; Pseudomonadales; Pseudomonadaceae.
GGCCUUGACAUGCAGAGAACUUCCAGAGAUGGAUUGGUGCCUUCGGGAACUCUGACACAGGUGCUGCAUGGCUGUCGUCAGCUCGUGCGUGAGAUGUUGGGUUAAGUCCCGUAACGAGCGCAACCCUUGUCCUUAGUUACCAGCACGUUAUGGUGGGCACUCUAAGGAGACUGCCGGUGACAAACCGGAGGAAGGUGGGGAUGACGUCAAGUCAUCAUGGCCCUUACGGCCUGGGCUACACACGUGCUACAAUGGUCGGUACAAAGGGUUGCCAAGCCGCGAGGUGGAGCUAAUCCCAUAAAACCGAUCGUAGUCCGGAUCGCAGUCUGCAACUCGACUCCAUGAAGUUGGAAUCGCUAGUAAUCGUGGAUCAGCAUGCCACGGUGAAUACGUUCCCGGGCCUU